CCUCCUUAAAAGAAGUGUGAAUCUUUCGUUUUAAGCGCCCACACAAUCUACUUAAUCAGUUCGCCGGCUGCGGGUCUGUAGCUCAGUUGGUUAGAGCGCACCCCUGUAUAAGGGUGAGGUCGGAAGUUCAACUCUUCCCAGACCCACCAGGUUACCUCUGAAUCAGAGGUUUGCCAAUAGGGGCCAUAGCUCAGCUGGGAGAGCACCUGCUUUGCAAGCAGGGGGUCGGCGGUUCGAUCCCGCCUGGCUCCACCAGGUGAUAAACGAUAGUGGUGAAGACCACUGCCGUUUAUUUCCUGACGAAGUCGGGUCAGCGGACGCUCUUUAACAAUUUAGGUAGUGAUAUACGACGGUGAAGUCAAGCCUGAUUCAGGCAAGGCUUUACUGGGUAUACCAGCAUUUAUCAGUAGAUGUAUUCGAUAUCCCUGAAAAGAUCAGUCUUUUUGGGGGUUAUAUGAUCAAGCGACCCAAGCGCCGCAUGGUGGAUGCCUAGGUGGUAAGAGGCGAUGAAGGACGUUGUAGCCUGCGAUAACCUUCGGGGA
This 542-nucleotide unclassified non-coding RNA is filed under the name uncultured Thiotrichales bacterium. RNAcentral describes it as "partial 16S-23S ribosomal RNA intergenic spacer". The stretch from base 180 to 252 matches the Rfam family "tRNA". Lineage: Bacteria; Pseudomonadati; Pseudomonadota; Gammaproteobacteria; Thiotrichales. The record is from RNAcentral.